Molecule: long non-coding RNA, 294 nt
Filed under: Salmo salar (Atlantic salmon)
Lineage: Eukaryota; Metazoa; Chordata; Actinopteri; Salmoniformes; Salmonidae
Description: lncRNA (ENSSSAG00000111956.1)
Rfam family: UnaL2 LINE 3' element (bases 27-80)
Source: RNAcentral
GGGGGACCAGUAUGAAAAAAAAAUUAUGCACUCACUACUGUAAAUCGCUCUGGAUAAGAGUGUCUGCUAAAUGAUGAAAAUGUAAAAAAACAAAUUAGUAACUUGUUUUUCUUCAAAUGGGUUAUAGAAUACAACCUUUUUUUAGAAAAAGUUUGGGAAACCCUGACAUAGCAGCCGGGCCAGAUUACAGACCGGGCACGUGCCCUGGGGCCCCGAUCUUCAGAGGAACCCCAAAAAUAAUCUAAUAGUACAUGAACACAUCACAAACCAUUGUAAAAAUGUGUAGCAUUGCCG